RNAcentral lists this long non-coding RNA (539 nucleotides) under Bos mutus (wild yak). Its description in RNAcentral is "lncRNA (ENSBMUG00000012487.1)". Lineage: Eukaryota; Metazoa; Chordata; Mammalia; Artiodactyla; Bovidae. The record is from RNAcentral.
AGAGAAGGAGGAAGAGAGAGAACUCUAAUUUUAUGCUAAACGGUGUUCCAUUGGAUUUGUGAUUAAUGUAUAAAAGUCCAUGAUAAAGAAAAUUCUUUUUUUUUUAAAUUAUUUUUAGGAACUUGGCUUCUAAAAUGAAAAGGAGGUUUUGGGGAGAGUCUGGCAGUGUCGAUGCUUCCAGCAGAUGAAGAAUCAACCCCACCUGCAGCUGGUGUUGAAACUGGAAAACCUAAAAAGUUUUAUCUCCUCAUGAACCAUGAAGAUUCUUUUCAAGUGUGAAACAUAUCAUCUUUAGAACUGAACACCUUCUCAACUGAACUUAAAGGAGAAAAUAAGUGCAAUAUUGGGAACUAGAUUUAAAUGAAGAUAAGGUAGAAGACAGAACUGUUACAAGUAUGUAAGUUUUAUUGUACAGAAAAAUGAAGGCUUCAGCUCUGUUGUAUUCUGAAAAAUUCCUAGCUUCUAUGUAAUUCUCUAAUUAUAGAACUUUAUUUCAUUAUGUUGAACUAGUCCUGAUUUCACCAUGAAAAUCUGACCUG